ACAGUUCUAAAAAUAGAGCUGAUACAAAUUACAAUUUAUAGAUAUCAUAUCAGUUAUCCAUUAACUAUCAAUUCUAUUUUUAAAAAGUUACCAAACGCGUUAAUUUACCUGUUUAGGUGUUUAUUAGUUAUCAGCUGCACUCAAAAAGUGAAUCAAACAUCCCCUAAGUAGCAACAAGUAUUUUUUUUAUUACCCCACUUUAUGGUGGUUGCUACUUGUAGU
Molecule: unclassified non-coding RNA, 222 nt
Filed under: Hevea brasiliensis (rubber tree)
Lineage: Eukaryota; Viridiplantae; Streptophyta; Magnoliopsida; Malpighiales; Euphorbiaceae
Source: RNAcentral